RNAcentral lists this ribosomal RNA (908 nucleotides) under Bacillus thuringiensis. RNAcentral's name for it is "bacterial SSU rRNA". It matches the Rfam family "Bacterial small subunit ribosomal RNA", at positions 33 to 906 of the family's 1533-position model. Lineage: Bacteria; Bacillati; Bacillota; Bacilli; Caryophanales; Bacillaceae. The record is from RNAcentral.
CCGGGGGCGGCGUGUCUAAUACAUGCAAGUCGAGCGGAUGACAUUAAAGAUCUGUCGCUCUUAUGAAGCUAGCGGCGGACGGGUGAUGACCACGUGGGUAACCUGCCCAUAAGACUGGGAUAACUCCGGGAAACCGGGGCUAAUACCGGAUAUAAUUUUGAACCGCGGGGAUCUAAAUUGAAAGGCGGCUUCGAUUGUCCUUUAUGGAUGGACCCGCGUCGCAUUAUAUAGGUGCAGAGGUAACGGCUCCCCAAGGCGACGAUGCGUGACCAACCUGAGAGGGUGAUCGGCCACACUGGGACUGAUACUCGGGCAAGACUCCUAGGGGAGGCUUGAAUAGGGAAUCUUCCCCUGUGGACGAAAUUCUGACGGAGCAACGCCGGGUGAGUGAUGAAGGCUUUCUGGUCGUAAAAAUCUGUUGUUAGGGAAAAACACCUGGUUGUUUAAUAAGUUGCCACCUUGACAGCACCUAACAAAAAAGCCCCGGCUAACUACGUGCCACCAACGGCGGAAAUACUAAGGGGAAAUGCGUUAUCCGAAAUUAUUGGGCGUAAAGCGCCCGCAGGUGUGUUCUUACCCCUGAUGUGACCCCCCACGGCUCACCCGUGGAGGGUCAUUGGAAACUGGGAGACUUGAGUGCAAAAUAGGAAAGUGGAAUUCCAUGUGUAGCGGUGAAAUGCGAACACAUAUGGAGGAACACCAGUGGCGAAGGCAUACUUUUCUGGUGCUGUACUGACACUGAGGCGCGAAAGCGGAGUGGAUACACAGGAUUACCAUCCCCUGGAAGUCCACGACGUAAACGAUGAAUGCUAGCUGAUAGAGGGUUUGCCGCCCUAUUAGUGCUGAAGUCACCGCAUGAAAACAACUCCGCCUGAGGAGUACAGUCAGCAGGAAUUGACAACUCAAGG